RNAcentral lists this ribosomal RNA (253 nucleotides) under uncultured bacterium. RNAcentral's name for it is "partial 16S ribosomal RNA". It matches the Rfam family "Bacterial small subunit ribosomal RNA", at positions 524 to 776 of the family's 1533-position model. The record is from RNAcentral.
UACAGAGGGUGCUAGCGUUGUUCGGAAUGAUUGGGCGUAAAGGGCGUGUAGGCGGUUUGUUAAGUCAUGUGUGAAAUCCCUCGGCUCAACCGGGGAAGGACGCAUGAAACUGGCAAGCUAGAGUACCAAAGAGGGGGGUGGAAUUCACGGUGUAGCGGUGAAAUGCGUAGAUAUCGGGAGGAACACCUGUGGCGAAGGCGGCCCCCUGGUUGGAUACUGACGCUGAUACGCGAAAGCGUGGGGAGCAAACAGG